GUGGUCGUAUUGGAUGAGCUCUGGCGGUUGUGAAUGCUGAUUUUGGAUUUGUGAGUGUGUGUGUAACCCUUCUCUUGUCUGGUCAGAGGCCAGAGUCAUUAUAAAGGGAAGAUGGGGAGUUGCCCAGCAGCGUCCAGUUGGAGAGCUGCUUACUCAUCGUUCUUCUUCUACCGUUUCUCACUGUGAGGCAGAGGAAGAGUCUUACCGACAGGAAGAAUUUGUGCUGUGCCAGCAUUAAUACAGUAUGUAAUGCGAUCAAGCUUCUGUCCUGAAUGGCAAACAAAAAGACGAGAGAUGAGAGAAAGAGAGGAGGUGGAGACAAAGUCAGAGCAGAAUGUUUCCCAUUCAAUAUGACUUCGGCAUCAUAUUCAAAUAAAGCAGUCAGCCAUCGUGUUCACACCAUGAGCCUGUGGAAUGACAAGAUAAUGACACCGUCAUCACUCACAACUCGGGAGGAUCGGAGGCUUCAGGCACAAAAGUGCAGCUUCUGACGCCGCUUGAAGCUGACCUGGACAGAUUGAGUAAGAAGGGCAGUCUACCCACAGACAGCUAACCUUUACCUAAGUGAUGAGCUUGUUUUUAAAAGCUCAAAUCUUAAUAUGAAGCCUUUUGCGUUUCACCCAGAAGCUGGAGACUCACUGUGCUCCUAAUUUACAAAUGCAGUAAAUUCAAUGUCCCCAAGAGCGCUCUUACUACAUUAGGUGGGAAAGAAAUGUGAAUGAAAAUGAUGACAAAUAAAAAGGGGAGAUCUUAAGAGUCAUUAUCAUAGCUGUAAAAUAUUGGCA
Molecule: long non-coding RNA, 785 nt
Filed under: Sinocyclocheilus grahami
Lineage: Eukaryota; Metazoa; Chordata; Actinopteri; Cypriniformes; Cyprinidae
Description: lncRNA (ENSSGRG00000020720.1)
Source: RNAcentral